Molecule: ribosomal RNA, 407 nt
Filed under: uncultured bacterium
Lineage: Bacteria
Description: bacterial SSU rRNA
Rfam family: Bacterial small subunit ribosomal RNA
Source: RNAcentral
UGGGGAAUAUUGGGCAAUGGAGGAAACUCUGACCCAGCAACGCCGCGUGAAUGAUGAAGGUCUUCGGAUUGUAAAGUUCUUUUCUAAGGGAAGAAGAAAGUGACGGUACCUUAGGAAUAAGCCUCGGCUAACUACGUGCCAGCAGCCGCGGUAAUACGUAGGAGGCAAGCGUUAUCCGGAAUGACUGGGCGUAAAGGGUGCGUAGGUGGUUUGACAAGUUGGUAGCGUAACUCCGAGGCUCAACCUCGGCACUACUACCAAAACUGUUGGACUCGAGUGCAGGAGGGGCAAAUGGAAUUCCUAGUGUAGCGGUGGAAUGCGUAGAUAUUAGGAGGAACACCAGUGGCGAAGGCGAUUUGCUGGACUGUAACUGACACUGAGGCACGAAAGCGUGGGGAGCAAACAGG